UGGGGAAUAUUGCACAAUGGGCGGAAGCCUGAUGCAGCGACGCCGCGUGGGGGAUGACGGCCUUCGGGUUGUAAACCUCUUUCAGUGCAGAACAAGGCUCUUUGUGGGUUGAGGGUAUGCGCAGAAGAAGCACCGGCUAACUACGUGCCAGCAGCCGCGGUCAUACGUAGGGUGCAAGCAUUAUCCGGAGUGACUGGGCGUAAAGAGUUGCGUAGGUGGUUUGUUAAGUGAAUAGUGAAAUCUGACGGCUCAACCGUAUAGACUAUUAUUCAAACUGGCAAACUCGAGAAUGGUAGAGGUAACUGGAAUUUCUUGUGUAGGAGUGAAAUCCGUAGAUAUAAGAAGGAACACCAAUGGCGUAGGCAGGUUACUGGACCAUUUCUGACACUGAGGCACGAAAGCGUGGGGAGCGAACCGG
Molecule: ribosomal RNA, 418 nt
Filed under: uncultured prokaryote
Description: bacterial SSU rRNA
Rfam family: Bacterial small subunit ribosomal RNA
Source: RNAcentral